UACGUAGGGUGCGAGCGUUGUCCGGAAUUAUUGGGCGGAAAGGGCUCGUAGGCGGUCUGUCGCGUCGAAAGUGAAAACUCAGGGCUUAACCCUGAGCCUGCUUCCGAUACGGGCAGACUAGAGGUAUGCAGGGGAGAACGGAAUUCCUGGUGUAGCGGUGAAAUGCGCAGAUAUCAGGAGGAACACCGGUGGCGAAGGCGGUUCUCUGGGCAUUACCUGACGCUGAGGAGCGAAAGUGUGGGGAGCGAACAGG
This 253-nucleotide ribosomal RNA is filed under the name uncultured bacterium. Its description in RNAcentral is "partial 16S ribosomal RNA". It matches the Rfam family "Bacterial small subunit ribosomal RNA", at positions 524 to 776 of the family's 1533-position model. The record is from RNAcentral.